This 744-nucleotide ribosomal RNA is filed under the name Acinetobacter baumannii OIFC032. RNAcentral describes it as "bacterial SSU rRNA". It matches the Rfam family "Bacterial small subunit ribosomal RNA", at positions 32 to 771 of the family's 1533-position model. The record is from RNAcentral. Lineage: Bacteria; Pseudomonadati; Pseudomonadota; Gammaproteobacteria; Moraxellales; Moraxellaceae.
AACGCUGGCGGCAGGCUUAACACAUGCAAGUCGAGCGGGGGAAGGUAGCUUGCUACUGGACCUAGCGGCGGACGGGUGAGUAAUGCUUAGGAAUCUGCCUAUUAGUGGGGGACAACAUCUCGAAAGGGAUGCUAAUACCGCAUACGUCCUACGGGAGAAAGCAGGGGAUCUUCGGACCUUGCGCUAAUAGAUGAGCCUAAGUCGGAUUAGCUAGUUGGUGGGGUAAAGGCCUACCAAGGCGACGAUCUGUAGCGGGUCUGAGAGGAUGAUCCGCCACACUGGGACUGAGACACGGCCCAGACUCCUACGGGAGGCAGCAGUGGGGAAUAUUGGACAAUGGGGAGAACCCUGAUCCAGCCAUGCCGCGUGUGUGAAGAAGGCCUUAUGGUUGUAAAGCACUUUAAGCGAGGAGGAGGCUACUUUAGUUAAUACCUAGAGAUAGUGGACGUUACUCGCAGAAUAAGCACCGGCUAACUCUGUGCCAGCAGCCGCGGUAAUACAGAGGGUGCGAGCGUUAAUCGGAUUUACUGGGCGUAAAGCGUGCGUAGGCGGCUUAUUAAGUCGGAUGUGAAAUCCCCGAGCUUAACUUGGGAAUUGCAUUCGAUACUGGUGAGCUAGAGUAUGGGAGAGGAUGGUAGAAUUCCAGGUGUAGCGGUGAAAUGCGUAGAGAUCUGGAGGAAUACCGAUGGCGAAAGCAGCCAUCUGGCCUAAUACUGACGCUGAGUACGAAAGCAUGGGGAGCAA